AUUGAACGCUGGCGGCAGGCCUAACACAUGCAAGUCGAGCGAGCGGCGCACGGGUGAGUAAUGUCCGGGAAACUGCUUGAUGGAGGGGGAUAACUACUGGAAACGGUAGCUAAUACUGCAUACUAUCAGAUGUGCCCAGGUGGCAAUAGCUAGUGGGUGGGGUAACGGCUCACCUAGGCGACGAUCCCUAGCUGGUCUGAGAGGAGGACCAGCCAAACUGGGACUGAGAAACGGUCCAGACUCCUACGGGAGGCAGCAGUGGGGAAUAUUGGGCAAUGGGCGCAAGCCUGAUGCAGCCAUGCCGCGUGUGUGAAGAAGGCCUUCGGGUUGUAAAGCACUUUCAGCGGGGAGGCGUUACCCGCAGAAGAAGCACCGGCUAACUCCGUGCCAGCAGCCGCGGUAAUUC
RNAcentral lists this ribosomal RNA (406 nucleotides) under uncultured bacterium. Its description in RNAcentral is "partial 16S ribosomal RNA". It matches the Rfam family "Bacterial small subunit ribosomal RNA", at positions 30 to 526 of the family's 1533-position model. The record is from RNAcentral.